Long non-coding RNA from Mya arenaria, 2056 nucleotides. RefSeq lists it as uncharacterized. The record is from RefSeq and is a predicted model, not a curated record. NCBI's taxonomy places the organism in Eukaryota, Metazoa, Mollusca, Bivalvia, Myida, Myidae. The transcript has 3 exons.
CAGAUAUUUGGCAGAAUAAUCCAACCAAGUGGCCAGAGGUACAAUGGCCAGAUGUCUUCCACUACUUGAUAGACACUCCAGGGGUGUAUACAAGGGAGUCGAUGAAGAAUCUCAAGAGCCUUGAAGCCCACAACUUCUUCAUAUAAGGCUGGGUCCAGACAUUAUUACACAUUAAGAACACCUCAAACGGCAGAUGUGCAACCAUCAUACAGAGUCAAUGAUGACCCUCACCACCCAUGGGUUUCCAUAUCUAAGGAUGGAAGUGUUCUUACUGCUCACUGUGACGCAUGGCAGGACUGGGCGAGUCAUGUUCUCACUUUGCAGCCGUCCUGUUUAAGAUCGAGGCAGCAGUGAGAAACAGGUAUACAAAGUUGGCAUGUACAGACAAGCCGUGUUCAUGGAAUCAAUGUUUCACUAAGGCGGUUCAACCAGCGGAAAUUAGACAUAUUUCUUUUUAGAAAGAAAGUGUGAAGGAAAAGCUGCGGUGUAGCAAACGAAAAAGAAAGCCACCACCACCUGCACCAUCUCUAGAGAAACAAAAACAAUUUCUUCAAAAACUGGCUGGUCUGAAGGAAAAACCAGUUGUUCUUAGUGUGUUCAAAGAAAAGCCCACAUGUUCUAUGAAAAGAGGCAGAAAAAAUGACAGUUUACCGCUAUCACUUAAAUUUCUCCAUAAAGAAGAAAACAGCAAAAAGUCUGGAACUUAAAACCUUGUGCGAAAGUGUACGCCUGUCUCUUGCUGUAAGUGAAAAUGAAAAUGUCAGAGUACCUGAAACAAUCAACAAAGCUACAAUCCGACUUAGUUGUAUGGCAUGAUCAGAGGACUGGACGGGUAACUGCAUCCCUUGCUCACAGUGUCUUACACACAAAUCCGGAAAACCCAGCUAAGUCACUCAUAACACGCAGUUCUGCCAUUUCGUUGUCUGGACUACUCCAACCUGUAUCAUAGCACAAGUAUUGCGAGAUGAAGAUUGUAUUGAAAACAUGCUUUCUUCUAUUGACUUAUUUUGGAACGAUCAUUGCUUGCCCGAGUUAUUGACCCAUUUUAUGUUAACUGCCUGUCUGGCAGUUGAAACAGUUCCUACAAGUGAUGUCACACUUUACUGUUUUUGUCAUCUUCCCUGGGACGAAAAUGAUGGAACAGAUAUGGUAGGGUGUGAUGGAAAACAUUGAAGAGAGUCUCAUUACACAUGUCUACAAGAAAGACCAUUGAUGCAAAGCAUCAAAGGGCGCCGUUUAAUAGUUUAUGCAUUUGUUAUAUGUUGAAAAACAAGGAAUGUCAAGCCCAACAAGCAUAUUACAAUGCAUCGAACCGCAUCCAUGAAAUUCUCAAAAUAUUUGUUGCAUUCUGCUUAACAACAUAGGCUAAAGCAUUUCAUUAGGGGUGUGGUACAUUAAUGAACACGACAGAAUUAGGGUGCUUGUGCACUGUACUUUUUGUCAUUGCCACCUAUCCAUAUACCAAGUUUUAUUUCAAAACCAUGAGUAUUUUGAAAGUAAUUGCUCUGGUCAAGAAAAAUAGGCAAAGGGCAAUAAUUCUGUAAUUAGCUGAAAUACAGUUUUAGUCAUUGUGCACUGCACUUCCUCUUGUUGUGCUUUACCAUUGAAUGAUGUUUAAUGAAAUUCCAAAAAGUAGUUUUCUUGUUAUGCUACGGACAGGAAAAGGAACAAAGGGAAUAACUCUUGCAAUUCGCUGAAAUAGAGUUAUUGUUCUUGUACACUGCAGUUCUAAUCAUUUAGGGGGAGGGGGCAAAGUCACCAUGCUGGAAUGACAACUUGAAGGGAAGAAUAAGUUUCCUGAUUAUAUGAGGAAUUCAUCAUGAAGAAGUGACAUGAAAUAACAAUUUUUGUAGUACUUUAAUAAACAUUAUCAUUUCGUAUGAAAGUUACAAACAUAAAUAGAACAUAAUUAUUGAACUGUUAUAUAAAAAGAGAACAUUGUUUACUAGAUGAAGUGCAUUUAUAACAUAACAUGCCUUGUUUUUAGCUGUUUAAUAAUACUAAAAUGUAUGAAAUUGGACAAAUUGCAUAAAAAACUGGUCAAUGGAGUUAUAAU